This 174-nucleotide ribosomal RNA is filed under the name uncultured bacterium. RNAcentral describes it as "partial 16S ribosomal RNA". It matches the Rfam family "Bacterial small subunit ribosomal RNA", at positions 335 to 524 of the family's 1533-position model. The record is from RNAcentral.
ACUCCUACGGGAGGCAGCAGUGGGGGAUAUUGCACAAUGGAGGAAAAUCUGAUGCAGCGACGCCGCGUGAGGGAAGAAGGUCCUCGGAUUGUAAACCUCUGUCUUUGGGGACGAACAAAUGACGGUACCCAAGGAGGAAGCCACGGCUAACUACGUGCCAGCAGCCGCGGUAAU